UGUGUUAUUAACGUCAUGUACCCAGCAGUUGAGAGCAGCCUCUCUGCUGCACCGUUAGCUCCAGGGAAAGCCAUCGUUGUCCAAGACGCUUGAGGUGGAACAGACUGAGCACCAAGGUUUUUUCUUCACCUCAGAGUUGGUUUAAGUUGUGUAAUGCUGCAGUGUGUUGGUCAGCUGGUCUUGUUUGUUACUGCUGGAGUCUGCUGCUCUGCUCCACUAAUGUUAGUCUCUGAGGGAUGGUGUUGAAAGUUCACAAUAUACUUCACAUUUGUCUUGGAAAGGUAAUUAUUGAGUCAUUAAAUCAAAACAUGCUUGCAACUGCUGCUGUUUUUGAAGCUGUAUUACAAGAUAACUAACGUGUGUGCACUGUGCACAGGAAUUUUAACAAAGGUGGUGGCCAGUAAUACAAAGGCCUUUGAGUUAGAUACGCAGGGAAAACCCUGUUAUUAGACAUCUCGGCAGCCUUAUUUAUCAGUAGUAGACAAAUCCACUACUUUUUUGGCCACAGUCAAUCUGUUUUGAUUUGAUUCCCAACGUAAUUGCCAACACUUUUUUAUUGCUGAUGCAUGCCAAUUAACAAUACUUGCUUGUCUAAUCCAAACAAGUCUGAUCAGUGUUUUCCAUAAGUGGCACAGCACAAGGAUCAGUGCACAGAUCCUUUAUCCCUCUAUAAUGAACACACAGGCUUCCAUCCAGUAUUCUCUAUUAAGUUGGAAGGGAGGUUAUCUCAUAGAGGAGGGGUAUCUCUCCUUCUGUUUUGUCUCAAUCUGUGAAUGCGUCCCAACUCUUAACAGCAUUUUAGAAUAUUUAAGUAUUAAACAGUGUGCUGUCUGGUUUUGUAUGAAUUUAGUAAGUUUAUUUAGGUGGUCUACCUGUAACUCACAUUCCAAGCUCCCAUACAGCCGAAUGUUUUGGUGCUCUAUAUGUAAAUUGGCACAUGAUGAUCAGCAUAAUGUAAUCUGUAGUAGUAACUUUUUAAAUAGCCAAUAGCAUCUUUCCUUACAAGGCAGUUGCCAAAUCUAAACAUUUUUGUAGUUACCCAUCAGACACAUUUCACCAUCAGCAGAAAUAACACACACACACAAUGCCUUCAAGCCAAAAGAACAUGCACACAUCACACAUUAUAUUGAACGUCAAGGAUAUUUUAUAGUUUUUGGCUUUCAGAAUUAUAUUACACAUCAUCUUAAAAAUCUGCUCUCCAAAUAUAUGAUCCCAAACUUAAUUGCAUUUGAAAACCAAAAACAAAUGUUACAUUUUUUUUGUUUUACAUAUGUGAGGUCAUUACAUAUCAUAAUGACCACAGUUUAGUCUUGUUAUACAUAUAUGUAAUACAUAUCAAUAAUAUACAAUAUAUAAGUAUCAAAGACUGGCCUCCUCUUGGCUUAGAAUGUGGUGAAGUUAAAAAAGAGGAGAAAAGAAAAAAGGUGGUCAUGUCAGUUAAGACUGAGUCCAAUGCUAACUUUCCCUUCAUUUGAAGGCAGCCUAGUAAAAAUGUUGUGUUUGUUUAAAGAAUACACUUUGAGUCUGCGGGCAGUGGAACAGUCAAACUAUGAGCUGUCAGAUACAUCUGACCUGCUGACCACAUACAUUAUAGCAGAUUCCAAACCUCAGGGUACACUUGCCAAGCAAACCACACAAACAACUCAACUGCUCUCUAAUGACUGGACAGACCUGUUAUUUAUCAUACAUGCUAGCAGUUCCCACGAUCAAGAUCAAACAUUCAUAAUCACAUUAAGUAUGUGUGGGGUACAUGUGAAGUGUUUUGAAUUUCAGUUCCCCUUUUCAGUGACUGUUUUUGUCCAUGCUGCAUUUUGUCAAGACGAGGUAAGAAGGGGUCCAUCAUUGUGGUCAAUAUUUAGCACUGUGUUUUGACAUGAAACUCCCAUACACAUGAUGUGUGCUUUUUGUGCAGAUUUUUUUUUUUCUGUUGAUCUGUAGGAGAUGGUGAAUCUCUCUAUAGUUGAUGGCUGGGACAAGGUGGCAUCAGACAGCCUGACCACUCCAAGUGAUCAAUAUGGGAUGGUACUGUGUGAUAACAAAUGACUGUCAUGGGGUACUCAUUCAAGAAAAUGAAAAGCCAUCUUCCAACUCUGUGAAACAACAGAAUUUAAUCAUUUUCAGCCCUUGGCAAACAUCUACACUGUUUUUUUUUAAAAGAGAAAUAAUAUUAGAAGGAAUUAGACCAAGUUCCAAACAAUAAGCCUCUGAAUGUAGAUGCUCCUUUCAAGAAGAACACUUGAGAUAGACUUGGUUUGAGGUAGACAAUGAUGCUCUGUACAAAGCAUAUUUUGGAGUAUCACAACACUCCUUUUUGAGUGGUGGCUGUAAAAAGCUGCCCCCUUAUGAAGACCUUCUCCUGGCAGAGCUUCCCGAGCUUUGAGUAAGUCAACUUUGAAACAGUGUGUAUUUAAACAGACUAGAAAAUACAGUUUAGAGAUUUCGAUGGACGUUUUUCCUGCCGUGAAAAUUUGUAACAAACCUACAGGGAAUAUCAUCUCUUUAAGGUAAUGAAGUAAAUCAUCAUGUUCCCUCUUCCUUCAGCUAACUCACCAAAGUAAAUAUUUUCCUCAUGUCUUUCCACAAACAAUAAAUCAGUAGUGGUGGGCUGAUGUUAUUUGCACUCUAUUUUCUCUCAUUCAUGCUCUCAUAUAUUCACACACACACACACACACACACACACACACACACACACACACACAGCACAGAUGCAGACAGUAAUCCUCUUAAACUGCUUUUUAAGCAACCAUUUGUCAUCCCGCUGUUGCAUCUUGGGAAAAUUGCAGUCCUACAGGAGGAGGAGGAUGUGGAGAAUGACUGACUGAGGAAUAGCAAACACAGUCACGUAGCAACCUUUAGUAAACGGCCACUUUUCAGUCAUUAUGGAGGAUCCAAUAGCCCAGACGCAUAAUGGCAGCAAACGUCUCCCCACGCAUCUUUCUUCUUAAUCGUCACUGUUUGCGCAGUGGAAUCUCUUUAAAUUAUUGAUGUCAUGGGGGCUAAAGUGUACCUAACCCAGAAUGUAUUGUCAUUAUGCUUGGAUUAACGGACAUGAGCAUUGGUCCACUAGAAAGAAUGGCAUGAAUAUAUACUUGAAAUGUUGUAACGCCAUUUGACCUUGGCUACUGGUUGUUGAGAUGGGUUCAACUAUGCUUCAUAUUAUUACAAGUUAAGAUGUGUUUCUCAAAUUUCAUUAGCUGCUAUGAGUAAGCUCUGAGCUUUUCUUACUUGGACACUUCUGUUAAGGGAUUGACCAUUUAAAGCAAAUGGCUUGUGACCUUUAAGACAUUUCCGUCAGCCUUAGCUGUACUUUGCAUUUAGUUUUAAUUAGCUAAUGGUAGCACGCUAACACAUUAUACCUGCUAAACAUCAGCAUAUUAGCAUUAUCGUUGUGACCAUGCUAUCAUGCUGAUGUCAGCAUGUAGUACAGCCUGACAGAGCUUCUAGUGUGGCUGUAGACUCUGUUUGACUCUUGGUCUUGUUUAUAUGAGUUUGGCACACUGGUGGAGCUUGGUGGGUGUGUAAAGAUAUCAUGUAUUUUUGUUGGAUUGGGUUUUUAGUGUAGAAUCUAUUUAGAAUAGUAGAUUGAAGAAAUCCAGGCGAAAGUAUAAAUGGAAAAAUCUUUUGUCCUUGUGUUGCUUCAUUGAUACUUAAAAAGCAUUAUGCAGUAUAAUAACUUCACUCAAAGGACAUUCACCAAACUGCCUUUGCUUAGCACUACUUUUGAUGCUCUCCAGAGAAAGAAUAGCACGUUUUGUCCUUCUUUUAAUGCAAUGUCAACAGUGUUUUUUAAAGUGACAAAAAACACCCAACUUCUUCCCUGAUAAGACUGAAUAAUCUUAAGCAACAGCCGAGUAAGUUGUGACUUAACUCAAUUUAUAUGUAAAUGUAAUAUUUCCUGUGUAAUGAGCUUAUUGUAUUAUGUCAGCAUUGGCUGGUUUGGUUUUGUGUCAUUCAGAAAGGCAACCACAAUCAAUAUCGUUACUUUGUAUUUAUAUUCUUUUGGAUGGGCAGAGAUUUGCAUAGUUGUGCACAUUGUGUUAGCCUUUUAAUCUGUGGCAAGAACUAUAUGAAGCCAAACAAUAGAACAUCUGUAAGCAUGAAAAGGGAUGAAUAUUUGUUAACUUCACAUACAAUUUGUCUCUCUACUGAAGCUAUUUCAGGAGAUAUUAAAACAUAAUUUGUACAUGUGUGUGCAUUUUGAAAAGGCCUUAUUUUGAAUCUUAUUGUCAUAAAGCUUAUUUAACAGUCAGCUAAAGUGGAUGACAGCUGUUUUAAAAAAAAAAAAAAAAAAAAAAAAAAAAAGAUUUCUAUGCAGUGUGUGUAUUUGUGUGUGUAUCAUAUCACUGUACAAUGCCUAAAUGGUCCAUGACGUGUGCUGAAGCCUUGUGUCAGCACUUUACAGUGUAUCAGGCAGUGACUGUGAUAUUAUAGUGGAGUAUUAGUAUGCUAAAUGAGUCCCAGUAUACAGUAUGGUUUGUACAUCACUUCAUAUCAUUACUGGGAGAUUUACAUUGUCCCUAAAUUAAUAGAUAGGUGGAUACAAGUUUGUGUGGUGUCAUCCAGUUGAAGUUGUAUUGUCAUUCAUUCAGUCUAUGAUUGAACACCACUAUGUUAUCAGCGUUUGUAUUAUGUUACUGUGCAUUACUGUAGGUCUUCUCUGGUAUUUGAAUAAGUGUUUUGGUGUUUUAACUACCCUGAUCUUUGUAAAUUGUCUCUUAUGAGAGAAGGUUCACUCAAGCAACGCCGUAAAUGUUUUUAAUCCACCAGCCUGGCAACACAGCUUCAUGUUAGCUCUGAAGCAAAGCAAUUAAGCUCAUUACUGCGUCUGCAUUCUGCCUGCCAACACACAAAGCGCAGAAAAUGCCACAGAUCUGAGACAUUUUAUUCGAUAUUUUCUCACUUAAUACCAAAGUUAAAAUUGAGAUUUUCAAUGUCAGCAGGCUUUGGUCAGGUUCAGGUUUUGUUAUUUGCAUGUUAUCUUUAGUUCUCUUUCUGACUGCACCAUGUGUGACACAUAAUGUCCAGUGGGGAAAAAAGGCAGAGAGCAUAGUUUAUGCAUUGCAUUAGAUGUGCAAUCUAACCAGAAAUAGAAGAAAUAACUCCACAUCAUGGUAGAGGGGGGUUUGUAAAAGUCCCCAAUUAUUUGGGCUUUUUAAUUUUUAAUACUGGUAGCAUAUUGUCUGACCUGCAGUCAUGCCUGGACAAAGUACAGUUCCUGGGUUCUGAGGUUCAGUUACACUUUACACUUUAUUACAUUACAUUAUUAUUCACACUGACCGAUAAAUCGUGUUUUCAUUGUCAUCGUGAUAUGAACAUAUGCCGUAAACACAUCGCAGAAGACAACUGCCUGAAACACGAUGAAUAAGAAAAAUCAUUUUAGUUACACAUGCCCUGCAUUCACUCUCAGCAUGCCAACAUUUGUCCUAUCAGAUGGAGCCCAUGGACCAUGUAUUCACACUGUUUGGCCAAUCAGAUGAAGUCCCAGCUAGCCGUCAGCUACCCUCAGAUUAAUUGGUGUCAAUUUUGGUGGCGACUGCGAGGAUAGCUAGCACAAUAGCUGAGGAAGGGGAGAAGAAUGUGGUGAAAAAGAACAACACUUAUGAUAUUUGGAAUUAUUUUGGAUUCAGGAAAGAUGAUGUGUUACAAAUACAGGCACUGUAAAACAUGCAGAACAGUUGUGGGGACUUCCAGAGGAAGCAUAAUCAACCUCCAUCACCACCUGCAAUACAACCAUAAAGAACUACACUAACAAUUUAAAACUAGCCAAACCACAAAUGUCGAAUAGCAGCGAAUCUAAAACCUUCCCAUCAUAGCAACAACAGUCCAUUUCUCAGAGUGACAAAACAUUCAACCGCCACAGAGAAAUAACAAAGGCCAUUACUUGGUGGUGGAGAGAAAAAAACACUGGGUGAAUCGCAGAUCCUGCUUUUGAUUUUGAAGGUCGAAAUUGAACACUCAUUUUGAUCCAUUUUCAAGUUAGUCAAACGUGAAGGCUAUCGAACUCAACCACUUGGUCAGACUUCAGUGUUUUGGCCACAGGUUGCGCCUUGCCAUCGGUAAGUGUAAAUGAAUACAUUUGCUUUAUGUGGCAUUAUUGUAAUCUAUUGCAGUCUUAUUUUAUAACCCGAACAGAUUGGAUUAUUCAUUGAGAUGAUUCAAGCAUGCCCAUUUUAUUACCUAAUGUUAUUGUUGUCAAUUGCAGUGUAUAGCCAAAGACUGAGUUCUCACGGGCUUUAUUUACCCGAGUCCGACCUUGCCCAAGAGGGGGAAAUCAUGUGAUGGCAUUUAGGCUGUCUUAAUAUUAUUGAUUUGAAUAAAAAUGGCAAACACCAUUUUUUUUUUUUACAUAAUUCUCAUGUAAAAAUGAGAAUUAUAAUUGUACUUUUUUUUCCCCACUGAAUGGUCCACUGAAUAGCCUUUUUGGUUAAUUCUGAUACAUGUGAAAUACACUAAACUGAUGGCACACAGUUUGGGAAACACUUAAGCUUGACAUUGAGCUAGUGUUUUUGCAUUCCCCUGGGGGGUGCCAGAGUUUCAGGGGAGGCAUGCCUCAUACAAUGAGAACCUCUGUGUCUGUUGUUUGUAUGUAACCUAUUGAUCUUGAGCUCAUGUCUACAAAUUAAACUACUACUAAAUGUCACAUGAUGGUAGUGUGUCUCAUAGUGCCUGAAUCAUUACUUUGUAAUUACUGUAUUUACACUAGUAUGUAGUCCUGGAAUUGUUACUUUGUAAUAAUUGUACUUAUUUAUGCAGUCUCUGAAUUAUUACUUUGUAAUUAUUACAAAAUUGUUAUUUUUGCAGUUAGGUUACAAUGAUUAAUGGUAGGUUUUAAUAUUUUUUUCGAGUGUUUUCAUGUCAUCUUUUCAGAAAGUGCUGUUAAAAGAUGAAAGCCGCAUUGCCCGUGCUGCUGGGCUUUGCAAAAAAUUGGUGGGACAUUUCUCCCAUAGCUUGAAGCAGAGGAUGGCACUGAAAGAAGCACAACAGGAACACAACGUCCUAGAGCACUCACUCAUCACAGAAUGCCCAACUAGGUGGGGCUUGAGGCAAAAGAUGAUAGAGAGGGUCUUGGAGUAGCAGUGGGCCAUAUCUGAUGUUCUCUCAGCAGACCGAAAAACACGGCAUGUGGUUCCUUUCUGGCAGGACCUGGAUGUACUUGAGUCUGCAAACUUGGCAUGAACUUACUGAUGUUUUUUCCGGGGAAAGCUAUGUGAGUGUUUCAUAUGUGAAACUAGGCCUUCAUCUCUUGAAGACAUCAGUUUUUGCAGAGAAGGAAGAUGACACCAAUUUAACAGACCAUUAACGUGAAAAUCCUUGAUUACAUGAGUAUAAAGUAUGAUGACCCCAGGAACACAAGAACUUUUGGACACUGCAUCCUUCAUGGACCCCAAGUCCACGGUCAGCUAUAUCAGCAGCGAAAAAGUCCAAGACAUCAAGACCAGGAAUACCUUCUGACAACACUGAGGCCCAAUACAUGGAUCCACCCAGCAACAAGAAGGCAAAGCGAUCAUUGGGCAGUUUGCUCAAAACAAAUCCAGGCCCUACUCCCACUGCAUUUUCCAUGCAGCUGGAGCAAGCCUUUGAAGCUGAACUUAACAGCUUCUUGCUGUCCCCUGCCAUUGACAGUGAGGUAGACCCUUUGGCUUGGUGGAAUUUCCACCGGGUCACCUAUCCAAAGCUUAGAAAACUAGCUCGGAGGUAUCUUUGUAUACCUGCCACUAGUUUACCCUUGCAGAGGCUCUUCAGCACAUCAGGGAAUGUAGUAACAUGUCAUUGUGCAUGUCUCAAACCUUUUCUUGGCCAAGACCUUGUCCUAAGGGAAUAACUAAGGUAGUAACUUGCACUAAGGUGUAGAUAUUGAUUUGAUUUUAUCUUAUUUUGUCUUGAUUUAGCAGCCUUACUCUAUUUCAAUUUUCUGCCUUAUACUAUAGAUCUCUGCACCAUGUUGGGCAGAGUCAAGGGCCUAAACGAUUGUAAUGGGAGACGUUAGUUAUUUUAAAUUGCUAUGUUUAAUUUAUAUAUAUUUAAUUAUUUAAGUUGUUUUACCCCAGAUUUUUUUUUAAUUUCAACACUGUAUAGUAAGAGAUGUUUUUGUUGAGUUUAGAAGAAAAUACUUAGCGGAGCAGGGGAAAUUAAACUUUAAUUUCUUAUAGUUGUGUCUUAUGUCUUAUCAAAAUGAAUGUUCUGUUUAGUUGGUUUGGUAUUCAUGUGCAAUUUGUUCAAUAAAAGCAUGUUUGAAAUAA
Thunnus maccoyii (southern bluefin tuna) is the source of this 8240-nucleotide long non-coding RNA. RefSeq lists it as uncharacterized. The record is from RefSeq and is a predicted model, not a curated record. The transcript is spliced from 2 exons. Lineage: Eukaryota; Metazoa; Chordata; Actinopteri; Scombriformes; Scombridae.